RNAcentral lists this ribosomal RNA (542 nucleotides) under uncultured bacterium. Its description in RNAcentral is "bacterial SSU rRNA". It matches the Rfam family "Bacterial small subunit ribosomal RNA", at positions 335 to 872 of the family's 1533-position model. The record is from RNAcentral.
CACCUACGGGAGGCAGCAGUGGGGAAUUUUGGACAAUGGGCGCAAGCCUGAUCCAGCAAUGCCGCGUGCAGGAUGAAGGCCUUCGGGUUGUAAACUGCUUUUGUACGGAACGAAAAGGUUCUCUCUAAUACAGGGGGCAUAUGACGGUACCGUAAGAAUAAGCACCGGCUAACUACGUGCCAGCAGCCGCGGUAAUACGUAGGGUGCGAGCGUUAAUCGGAAUUACUGGGCGUAAAGCGUGCGCAGGCGGUUUUGUAAGACAGAGGUGAAAUCCCCGGGCUCAACCUGGGAACUGCCUUUGUGACUGCAAGGCUGGAGUGCGGCAGAGGGGGAUGGAAUUCCGCGUGUAGCAGUGAAAUGCGUAGAUAUGCGGAGGAACACCGAUGGCGAAGGCAAUCCCCUGGGCCUGCACUGACGCUCAUGCACGAAAGCGUGGGGAGCAAACAGGAUUAGAUACCCUGGUAGUCCACGCCCUAAACGAUGUCAACUGGUUGUUGGGGGUUAAUUCACUCAGUAACGAAGCUAACGCGUGAAGUGACCGC